AGAGUUUGAUCCUGGCUCAGAACGAAGCUGGCGGCAUGCUUAACACAUGCAAGUCGAACGCUCCUGAGGGCUUCGGCCCUCUGGGGAGUGGCGCACGGGUGAGUAGCGCGUGGGACCUGCCCUGUUGUGGGGGAUAACCGAGGGAAACUUCGGCUAAUACCGCAUGCGCCCGGGCAACCGGGGAAAGAUUUAUCGCAGCAGGAGGGGCCCGCGUCGGAUUAGCUUGUUGGUGGGGUAACGGCCUACCAAGGCUAUGAUCCGUAGCUGGUCUGAGAGGAUGAUCAGCCACACUGGGACUGAGACACGGCCCAGACUCCUACGGGAGGCAGCAGUGGGGAAUAUUGGACAAUGGGCGAAAGCCUGAUCCAGCAAUGCCGCGUGAGUGAGGAAGGCCUUAGGGUUGUAAAGCUCUUUCGGCGGGGACGAUGAUGACGGUACCCGCAGAAGAAGCCCCGGCUAACUUCGUGCCAGCAGCCGCGGUAAUACGAAGGGGGCGAGCGUUGUUCGGAUUUACUGGGCGUAAAGGGCGCGCAGGCGGCUAUUUUUGUCAGGCGUGAAAGCCCCGGGCUUAACCUGGGAACUGCGCUUGAUACGGGAUGGCUAGAGAUCGGGAGAGGAGAGUGGAAUUCCCAGUGUAGAGGUGAAAUUCGUAGAUAUUGGGAAGAACACCGGUGGCGAAGGCGGCUCUCUGGACCGAUACUGACGCUGAGGCGCGAAAGCGUGGGGAGCAAACAGGAUUAGAUACCCUAGUAGUCC
This 756-nucleotide ribosomal RNA is filed under the name uncultured bacterium. RNAcentral's name for it is "bacterial SSU rRNA". It matches the Rfam family "Bacterial small subunit ribosomal RNA", at positions 8 to 796 of the family's 1533-position model. The record is from RNAcentral.